This 311-nucleotide ribosomal RNA is filed under the name uncultured eukaryote. RNAcentral describes it as "partial 18S ribosomal RNA". It matches the Rfam family "Eukaryotic small subunit ribosomal RNA", at positions 1470 to 1796 of the family's 1831-position model. The record is from RNAcentral.
CCCCUAGACGUUCUGGGCUGCACGCGCGCUACAAUAAUACGCACAGCGAGUAUCACCGAGCUCGAAAGGGCAAGGUAAACAAUAGAAAAGGUACUGUCAUGGUUAUAGAUCCUUGUAAUUAUUGAUCUUCAACGAGGAAUUCCUAGUAAGUAUGUGUCAUCAUCACGCACUGAUUACGUCCCUGCCCUUUGUACACACCGCCCGUCGCUCCUACCGAUUGGGUGAGCCGAUGAAACUCUCGGAUGUAGGCUAUUCAUAGCCCGCAGAAGAGAUUUGAAUCGUAGCGCUUAGAGGAAGGAGAAGUCGUAACA